UACGGAGGGUGCGAGCGUUGUCCGGAAUCACUGGGCGUAAAGGGCGCGUAGGCGGCUUUUUAAGGGUGCGGUGAAAGCCCGGGGCUUAACCCCGGGUCGGCCGUGCCGACUGAAAAGCUGGAGCACUGUAGAGGCAGGUGGAAUUCCGGGUGUAGCGGUGGAAUGCGUAGAGAUCCGGAAGAACACCAGUGGCGAAGGCGGUUGCCUGGAGCUUUGCUGACGCUGAGGCGCGAAAGCGUGGGGAGCGAUCCGG
Molecule: ribosomal RNA, 253 nt
Filed under: uncultured bacterium
Lineage: Bacteria
Description: partial 16S ribosomal RNA
Rfam family: Bacterial small subunit ribosomal RNA
Source: RNAcentral